AAUGUUUUUGAAAUUAGUUGAUAUAGUUGUUCUGAAAAUGGUUCCAACCAACGUUUUUGAAUUGAUUGAAACCAUUGUUCAUAAAUUAUUUGAAAUCGUUGUUUCUCAAAGGGUCUCAACCAAUGUUCCUGAAAUGGUUGAGACCAACGUUCCAGAAAUGGUUUUGAAGAAUUGUUUAACAAAUAUGAAAAAUAUUUCAUCAAACAACAUCUCUAACAAGCAUUUCUUCGAACAUCUUUCGAGCUUCGGGCAUUCGGGAGAGGAAGAAGCAGCUACGGAGAAGGUGAAUGUGUAAUUAUCUGCAACGAGAUAUCAGCUUUAUUGCUGUCGAUCUCCUAUUCGAUUUCGAACCACCGCAUCCCAUUCCUAUUCUCCGUCGAAAAUCACUUUCUUGCUUACGGAAUCCACUCCUCUUCUUCUUCCCGGCAGACUAGUGAUUUUCGAAUGGAUGGGUGGCC
This 458-nucleotide long non-coding RNA is filed under the name Zostera marina. RNAcentral describes it as "long non-coding RNA (ZMAR_LNC001874)". The record is from RNAcentral. Lineage: Eukaryota; Viridiplantae; Streptophyta; Magnoliopsida; Alismatales; Zosteraceae.